AAUCUGCAUAAUAUGGCACAGUAUUCUACCGAUGAAAACUUUCACGGGAGCACAAACAACUGAGAAAUUUUCAUAUCAAAUUUGCUGAAUGGUCUAAGGACAAAAUCAGAUAAAGGUUCCAAAAAAUACAAAGAAAGCCACAGAAGCCAUAUGUUCCUAAGAAUUCAUUCAUUCCUCCCCUUUAAGGAAUACAAAUAUAAAAGACCGUAAGAAUAGCCAGAAAAGCAGAAUUCGAGAUUGAUUCACGAGGGUAAUGUUUCAUAAUUCAACAUUUUACACAAGAAAAAUGUACAUACAUACUUAAAAAUUGAAGUGCAAAAUAGUUUAAAAAA
This is a non-coding RNA of Phoenix dactylifera (date palm), 332 nucleotides long. The record is from RefSeq and is a predicted model, not a curated record. NCBI's taxonomy places the organism in Eukaryota, Viridiplantae, Streptophyta, Magnoliopsida, Arecales, Arecaceae.